CCUUCGGGCCUCUCGCGUCAGGAUAUGCCUAGGUGGGAUUAGCUAGUUGGUGAGGUAAGGGCUCACCAAGGCGACGAUCCCUAGCUGGUCUGAGAGGAUGAUCAGCCACACUGGAACUGAGACACGGUCCAGACUCCUACGGGAGGCAGCAGUGGGGAAUAUUGCACAAUGGGCGCAAGCCUGAUGCAGCCAUGCCGCGUGUGUGAAGAAGGCCUUCGGGUUGUAAAGCACUUUCAGUCGUGAGGAAGGUAGUGUAGUUAAUASCUGCAUUAUUYGACGUUAGCGACMGAAGAAGCACCSGCUAACUCCGUGCCAGCAGCCGCGGUAAUACGGAGGGUGCGAGCGUUAAUCGGAAUUACUGGGCGUAAAGCGCAUGCASGUGGUUUGUUAAGUCAGAUGUGAAAGCCCGGGGCUCAACCUCGGAAUYGCAUUUGMAACUGGCMGACUAGAGUACUGUAGAGGGGGGUAGAAUUUCAGGYGUAGCGGUGAAAUGCGUAGAGAUCUGAAGGAAUACCGGUGGCGAAGGCGGCCCCCUGGACAGAUACUGACACUCAGAUGCGAAASCGUGGGGAGCAAACAGGMUUAGAUACCCUGGUAGUCCMCSCCSUAAACGAUGUCYACUUGGAGGUUGUGGCCUUGAGCCGUGGCUUUCGGAGCUAACGCSUUAAGUAGACCSCCYGGGGAGUACSGUCGCMAGAYUAAAACYCAAAWGAAYUGACGGGGGCCCGCACMAGCGGUGGAGCAUGUGGUUUAAUUCGAUGCAMCGCGAAGMACCUUACCUACU
Molecule: ribosomal RNA, 784 nt
Filed under: Vibrio sp.
Lineage: Bacteria; Pseudomonadati; Pseudomonadota; Gammaproteobacteria; Vibrionales; Vibrionaceae
Description: partial 16S ribosomal RNA
Rfam family: Bacterial small subunit ribosomal RNA
Source: RNAcentral